AACGUAGGAGGCAAGCGUUAUCCGGAGUUACUGGGCGUAAAGCGCGCGCAGGCGGUUUCGUAAGUGGGGUGUGAAAUAUCCGUGCUAAACGCGGAGGGGACAUUUCAGACUGCGGGACUAGAGUGGAGUAGAGGAGCGUGGAAUUCCGGGUGUAGUGGUGAAAUAUGCAGAGAUCCGGAGGAACACCAGAGGUGAAGACGGCGCUCUGGGCUCCAACUGACGCUGAGGCGCGAAAGCUUGGGGAGCGAAC
This 250-nucleotide ribosomal RNA is filed under the name uncultured bacterium. Its description in RNAcentral is "partial 16S ribosomal RNA". It matches the Rfam family "Bacterial small subunit ribosomal RNA", at positions 524 to 773 of the family's 1533-position model. The record is from RNAcentral.